This 253-nucleotide ribosomal RNA is filed under the name uncultured bacterium. RNAcentral's name for it is "partial 16S ribosomal RNA". It matches the Rfam family "Bacterial small subunit ribosomal RNA", at positions 524 to 776 of the family's 1533-position model. The record is from RNAcentral.
UACAGAGGUCCCAAGCGUUGUUCGGAUUCAUUGGGCGUAAAGGGUGCGUAGGCGGCGCGGUAAGUCGGGUGUGAAAUCUCGGGGCUUAACUCCGAAACUGCAUUCGAUACUGCCGUGCUUGAGGACUGGAGAGGAGACUGGAAUUUACGGUGUAGCGGUGAAAUGCGUAGAUAUCGUAAGGAAGACCAGUGGCGAAGGCGAGUCCCUGGACAACUCCUGACACUGAGGCACGAAAGCUAGGGGAGCAAACAGG